CUGUAUACAUAGCAUGUGUCAGUCGCUAUCGGAACAACCACGAGGUUAGUCGGGGGCCUUGGUUAAUCUUGCAGGUUUUUCUUCGUCAUCCCCUGGGAUACUGAUUGUAUCACGUGUGCUAUAUUUGUACUGGUGACAUUUAAAACUGAAGAAAACCAAGGACCACGUGUUGGUGCAUAAAACAAUGAAACAUGUGAAAAUCUAGCGCCCUAAAUUAUAAAUACGGAAGGAUUCAACGUAAUAUAAAUUGUUUUAGUUCAUCUUAAUUUAUCAAUUUGAAUAUGUAAUAAGAGAUGCCAUAAUGCUGUUCUUGAAAUUUUUGCAAGCUACGAAUUGAAGUCAUUGACGAUGGAACAAAGGAGGUGCCCAGAAUGUUUUAGUUUUCUCACGACAUAUGAGUGAUCAAAGAGAAUCUGAUGUGAAGUCAUGAAUGAUGGAACAAAGGAGGUCCCCAGAAUGUUUUAAUGUUCUCAUCACAUAUGAGUGAUCAAAGAGAAUCUGGUGUGAAAGAAGUGAAACCAAAAUACACAAGUUUAAAAAAAUCUGAAAACAAGUUAAUUGAUGGAUAAUAAAAGUUAUAACUACUUGUUUGGAUUAUUACACAGUUUACGGUAAAAACAGAUUCGGUGCCCUUAUUUGUUUCCAAAAGGAUGUGCAGAAGGCCAUUUAUAAAAUAGCAAGGGCGCAAGAAACAAAGAAACUUUUCAGUAGUUGUAAGUUUCUUAGGACAAAUAAGAAGUUACACUGGCAUGAAAUUUUAGAAAGAAAGGAAUUGAAAUGAAUCAGGAACGUAAAUAUAAAAGCAUUUAACUAUGAAACUAAAGAGCUAUCCACCAAGUUGCAAGUUCCUUAGGACAAAUGAAAAAUUAAACUGGGAUGUCAUUUUAUGAGGAAAGGAUAGAAAAUGAACC
Aethina tumida (small hive beetle) is the source of this 911-nucleotide long non-coding RNA. RefSeq lists it as uncharacterized. Lineage: Eukaryota; Metazoa; Arthropoda; Insecta; Coleoptera; Nitidulidae. The record is from RefSeq and is a predicted model, not a curated record. The transcript has 6 exons.